Molecule: long non-coding RNA, 655 nt
Organism: Vidua macroura (Pin-tailed whydah)
Lineage: Eukaryota; Metazoa; Chordata; Aves; Passeriformes; Viduidae
Exons: 4
Source: RefSeq, a predicted model, not a curated record
CAAAGCACAGUUCCGGCGCAGCUCUGCGGCUGUGCAGCGGCGCUCUGCACAGACUGCGCACGCACGGCUCGGCGGCGGCGCCCGUUGAUUGGCGGCGCAGCCGCACACCAGCAGCAACGGCUCUCCACGUGGCUCCCGGUGCUUCACGAGUGUUUCAGAAUCAAAGAUGGCAUGAGCUGGAGAGCCAGAGCGCAUACUGAAAGCCAGGCAGAUAUUGGUCCAAAAUAAUCAAGACAAAUGCCUGAAGUCAUGAUUAACAAGGUUGCUGGUGACAUUCAGAUGAUCCAGGUGACUACAUCCUGCAUCACAAGCAGUGAAUGGACACAGGAUUUUCACGUUCAAUGAAAAAGAAUAAGCACCCAUAAGAUGUUAACUCCAGAUUUAGUGAUAACUGAAGAUGGAAGGGUACUUCAUCUUUUUAUGAUUAAUUAUGGACAGAUUGAGAACCAGGAAACUGCUCUGAUAAGCUGCUUGGGCCAUGAGGAAAGAGAAUCUACCCAGAAAUGCCCAGAUGCCAGCUUCGCUGGAGGCAUUGACCCCAGGGAACCAACUUAAGGCAAAGCAACAUGAAGAUGGAAGCAACACUAAAGAGGCUAAAAGACUGUCUGCUUCACAUCUUAAUUGCUUGAGCUAUUAAACAAACACAUCUGGUGUU